This 72-nucleotide transfer RNA is filed under the name Phrynosoma platyrhinos (Desert horned lizard). Its description in RNAcentral is "tRNA-OTHER". The record is from RNAcentral. Lineage: Eukaryota; Metazoa; Chordata; Lepidosauria; Squamata; Phrynosomatidae.
GCCAGUGUGGUGUAGUGGUUUGAGCACUGGACUAUGACUCUGCAGACCAAAGUUCGAAUUCUGGCUCAGCCA